This 2300-nucleotide long non-coding RNA is filed under the name Homo sapiens (human). Its description in RNAcentral is "HAS2 antisense RNA 1 (HAS2-AS1)". Lineage: Eukaryota; Metazoa; Chordata; Mammalia; Primates; Hominidae. The record is from RNAcentral.
AAUUGCUCCUGAGACCCAACAGGCAGCAACGGUCCCAAGGGUGAGGGAGUGGGCAGGGAGAGGCUGAUGGGGCUUCUACACGUUCCCUCCCGUAGCUGGGCUGCUGCAGCUCGUUCGCCCCAGAGGCGCGCGGUGUCCUUGAGUCCAAGUAUUCAGCGCGGACGUUUGGGGGACGGAGGGAGAGGCGCUAGGGGAACUGGCACCUAAGACUGUGUAAUAGGACACAGGUCUUGCAAGUCCUCCUCCCCAGGCACCGCCCCUGUGCUCCCAGCGCCUCUUUGCAGCUUUAAUUAUCCUUUCAGCGCCGUUCCCCCGCGGCUGCGUUUCCGUGGUCAGAGGAAAAAGGCUCUUUCGCCUCCCGGUUCUCACCCUCAUACAGACCCUCCUUUCAGACCCGCCCUCCUGUUCACAGGGACCCAUUUCGGAGCCCUGGCUCACGCUGGGCGGGAACUGCCGUGACGAAUUCCCCCCAAGGUGUUGAUUAUCCAUCCCAACCCAGCCUCUGGCUUCCCUCCCACCUCCACCCCAGCUCCCACAGGCCCCUCGCCCCGUUCAUCGGCUGGGCGCUCGAGACGGCGCCCCCAGAUCUCCCACCGGGCAGUGUCCCCAGCUGCAGCUGAGGAGAGAAGCGCCGGCGUGCGCGGUGCCACGUCGGAAUUGGCUCUGGGGACGCCGCAGCUGCCGAAGCGCAGCGCGCGGUCCCCACGCACGCCCUGCCUCCGGGCGGCCGGCGGGCUGGCCCGGCGAGGAGAGGAGGGAUGCGCGCCCUCCUCCCGCUCCUAUCUGCGGGUGCCACCGCCUGCGUCAGGGACCCCUGGCCCGAUCUUUCUGCCCCCGAUAACAGAAAAUCUCUUUUUCGUCUUAAAAAAAAAAAAAAAAAAAAAAAAAGCCUGUGGAAGACUCAGCAGAACCCAGGAAGCGCAGAAUUGGGAGAAAAGUCUUUGGCUGGGGCUGUUUCAAGUCUCUGGUUCAAUGGGCUGCUCGAAGCCAGGACUGGGUAAUUCUUUCCAGACGUCUUGACUUCUCCUUCCCCGCCGUUGUUGCCCUUCUGCCUCCUCCAACUUAAGGGGGUCUUAACAAGAUCUUCUGAGGGGUGGACUUCUUUGGAACUCGACAGGACCUUGAAGACUGGGUUCUUAGUCCUUAUCACAUAUAUGGGCUAUAAUGAAUAAGUCUAAACAGAAAAGUCGAAUAAACUGGAAAUGAUGCUUUCAUCACGUCGCACAAGGAGCUGUUUGGAUCAGAAGAUGACAUCCUUUCACCCAUCCCUUUCAGGUUUUGACAUCCUAAAAUGUACCUUAUGGAACCCAUACCUGUUAUGUUUUCACCUGUACAAGGCAACAGAGAAAACAUGGUAGUUUUUACUUGAGUAGAUGUGACUUAGCAAUAUGUUGUUGCUGACCUCCAUCCCACAGCACAAAACAUAUGUUUAUAUGUCUGACAGACAAAGUAUCCAGAACAAGGAUUUAGUACCUUCAUAAUCCUCUGUAUAUGUGGUUCUAGAACUUUUGGUAAAGAAACUCUUUAUACUCUUAUUAAUUAUUGAGAACCUCAAAAAAAGUUUAUAUGUUAUAUGUAUCAAUAUUUACCACAUUAGACAUUAAAGCUGACUUAAAAAGUUAAAAUACUUAAGUCAUUUGAAGUAAUAAUAAAUGCAGUUACAUACCAACUUAAUAACAUUUUGCGAAAAUAGCUAUUUUUCAAAACCUAAAGUGAGAAAAGUGGCAGUUUUCCAUUUUUGCAAAUCUCUUUGCUGUCUAGCUGAUAGAAGACAGCUGGAUUCUCCUAUUUGCUUUUGCAUUCAAUUGUUGUUUUGAUUGAAGUAUAUGAAAAAAAAUCUGGUGUCAUACACAUAUAUAAUUGGGAAAUGGAAGAGUAUUUACACAGGCUUUUUUAGAUAUUCUUCCUUUAUACUACAUCAAAACUUGAUAAGUUGCAAUGUUGUGAAUUGGCCCAGGGCUUGGCCCUCUGAAGAUUUGCUGAAAAUCACUGACAUGAAGUAGAUUAAUAGGAUAAAAGGCAUAUACAUUUAUUUAAUGUGUAUACACAGCGGCCUUUAGAAUGAAGACCCAAAGAUACAGAAGAAAUUGUCUGUUUUUAUGCUUAAGUUUAACAAAGAAUGGGCAGCCGUGUAGAGAUAGGAUAGGACAAAAAGGGCAUAAUCUAAUGCUAGCUGACUGAGUGAGGAAGCCCAGCAAGGCCUGUCAGUGUCUCCUCAGUAUGAGUGAAUUUUGUGUACUCUGAUAAUACAUUAAAAUCUGUUUAUGUACUCUGAUAACACAUUCAAAAAAAAAAAAAAA